RNAcentral lists this long non-coding RNA (1865 nucleotides) under Androctonus crassicauda. Lineage: Eukaryota; Metazoa; Arthropoda; Arachnida; Scorpiones; Buthidae. The record is from RNAcentral.
ACGUUAUAUUUUCUACCUUUACUCAUUCAGAGAUUGAUCAUGAAUGAAAAAAUCUCGUAAACUUAUAAGGCAACUUAGAACAUUUAUUAAAAGGAUUAUUUUCAGCAAAAUUUAUAAAUCUACUAAUCUAUGUGAUUUAGUUAUCGAGGAAUCAUUAAUAGGUAUGGAUUGGCAUAAAGGGGCUCAGAGCUUGCAAAUAAUUAUUUUAUUAAGCUCUAGGGGAAAUACAGCCUGUAAUGAUACAUUGACUCAUUAGUUUGUAAUCAGCUAACGAAGAUUACAAUGGCCCUAACCCUUCGAACCAAUCUCACAUACCUAUUUUAUAAAUUAUCGAAGUCAUAUUCCUGCGAAUUGAUUUCUGAUAUUGAUAUCUCUCCGUCUGAUAUCAGAUCAAUUAGUUUUAUCUUCUAUGCUAAUUUAACAAAAUCCUUUAAAAAAUUGAUUCUACAGUAAUGUGUUCAAUCAUAGAUAACCCCAAUAUCAGUAACUUGAUUCAUUGCACUAUGAAGAGUUAAAAUGCAAAUCACGUUUAUCGAGGUGUCUAAUGUUUACAAUAUUUAUCAUGCCUUUAAUAAUUUAUAUCUGUUUCUUUUUUCAGUAAAGUCUUGGAGUUAUUUUUAAAAACAAAAUGCGAAGCUUUCUACAAGAUGGGACUUGGCGAUUUAUCAUUUAUAUGCUUAUUUCAAUCGCUAGAAAACCUUCCAUUUUCUAUAGUAAGGAGAAUUCGUGUCUACAUAGGUUAAAGUACGUUCGACUUAAAUUAUAACAUUUCUUACAUUCAUCCCUUUCAAUCUGUCUUACUCAUCCAAGUUUCCAGAAAGAUGAGAUUUCUCAAAGUUUCUUUUAUGCAUAGAUUCUAUUUAGGUUAUUUUCAUCUGGCUUCGUCUCUAGAGAGCCCACACUGAUAGAAAUAUCUCAUUUUCCUUUUAGAUAGAGUGCUUAUGCUAGAAUGUCUUAAGUGAGACAGAUAUCAAUGUGUUUUUAUUCUGACUAGCGCAGUUAACCACAGCAUCAACUCACAUCUGCCAUCUACAGGAUUUUAUUUUAAUAACUUAUCAUUUUUUUUUUUCAUAUAAACUGGAAUGAACUCAAAAUAAUACGAAAUGCUAGAAUUUUUUCAUUACUGGAAGAGUUCAGUUACUUUUGUUCCAUCUCUGUUUAUCAAAUACUUCACUUGCGAUCCUUAUUAUAUGUUACAGUCAGUCUGAAAAUAAUGAAGUGUUUCAACACAUCAACACUGUCCAUGUUGAUUAUUACACUUUAUGCUAUGACUUAUUUCUUCUAAAUUACUAUUAUCAAUGAGAAAAACUUCUUUUCUAACUAUUUUCCUUCUGAGUAAUAAUUAAAUUGCAGAUAUUUUGAUUCUAUUGUACACACAUAAAUUUAAAGAUAGAUUUAUAGCCGAAGACAAUAUUUUUGGCAAGAAGUCAUAGAUUCCUACGACCACAUCUGGAUCUCAAAAAUUGCUGAAUGUGAUUUUUAUCUUGUUUUCAGACCUUUCUAAAAGUUUAAAAAGGUUUGAAAGAAAGAAGAGUAGUCAGCAUUUCUAUCUCUUAUAACAUACCUAAAAUAUGUUCACUUAUACUUUUAUCCUUCGUUAUUAAUUAUAUAAUGUGUCCGAAAAACGUGUAAACAGUGUGUUUGUAACUAGUGUGCUCAUUAUUAUUAUAAUCACUACUAGUUUUAUUCUUUCUGAUGCUGCUUUUGAAGAUCAGGUAACUCGAUAUCAUCAAAUCUCUCUCGUUGCUGUUAGAGAUUUGCUGAUAUCGUGUUACCUUGUCACUUCUUUACUGUCUCGAUUUUUUUUUUUUUUUUUUGCUCGUAUUUUAGAUAUGUUAUAAACGAAUUGUCGAACUUGUUAAAAC